Molecule: ribosomal RNA, 902 nt
Filed under: Enterobacter cloacae
Lineage: Bacteria; Pseudomonadati; Pseudomonadota; Gammaproteobacteria; Enterobacterales; Enterobacteriaceae
Description: partial 16S ribosomal RNA
Rfam family: Bacterial small subunit ribosomal RNA
Source: RNAcentral
GGGCAGGAGCUACCAUGCAGUCGACGGUAGCACAGAGAGCUUGCUCUCGGGUGACGAGUGGCGGACGGGUGAGUAAUGUCUGGGAAACUGCCUGAUGGAGGGGGAUAACUACUGGAAACGGUAGCUAAUACCGCAUAACGUCGCAAGACCAAAGAGGGGGACCUUCGGGCCUCUUGCCAUCAGAUGUGCCCAGAUGGGAUUAGCUAGUAGGUGGGGUAACGGCUCACCUAGGCGACGAUCCCUAGCUGGUCUGAGAGGAUGACCAGCCACACUGGAACUGAGACACGGUCCAUACUCCUACGGGAGGCAGCGGUGGGGAAUAUUGCACAAUGGGCGCAAGCCUGAUGCACCCAUGCCGCGUGUAUGAAGAAGGCCUUCGGGUUGUAAAGUACUUUCAGCGGGGAGGAAGGUGUUGUGGUUAAUAACCGCAGCAAUUGACGUUACCCGCAAAAGAAGCACCGGUUAAUUCCGUGCCAGCAGCCGCGGUAUUACGGAGGGUGCAAGCGUUAAUCGAAAUUACUGGGCGUAAAGCGCACGCGGGCGGUCUGUCAAGUCAGAUGUAAAAUCCCCGGGUUCAACCGGGAAAACGCUUUCAAAACUGGCAGGCUGGAGUCUUGUAAAGAGGGGAAAAAUCUCCGGGGUACGCGGGAAAUGCUUAAAGAAUCGGGAGAAUACCCGGGGGGAAGGGCGGCCCCCUGCACAAAAACUGACCCUACAGGGGCAAAAACGGGGGAAGAAAACAAGAUUAAAACCCCUGGUGUCCCCCCCCGUAAAGAAUGCCAAUUUGAAGGGGGCCCCUUAAGGCUGGGCUCCGGACCAUACCCAUUAAAUCCAACCCCCUGGGGAAGACGGCCCCCGGGUUAAACCUCAAUUAAUUGGCGGGGGGCCCCCCAACCGGGGAG